Molecule: ribosomal RNA, 253 nt
Filed under: uncultured bacterium
Lineage: Bacteria
Description: partial 16S ribosomal RNA
Rfam family: Bacterial small subunit ribosomal RNA
Source: RNAcentral
UACGUAGGGAGCAAGCGUUGUCCGGAAUCAUUGGGCGUAAAGCGCGCGUAGGUGGCCUCGUAAGUCCGCUGUGAAAGUCAAAGGCUCAACCUUUGAAAGCCGGUGGAUACUGUGGGGCUAGAGUACGGAAGAGGCGAGUGGAAUUCCUGGUGUAGCGGUGAAAUGCGCAGAUAUCAGGAAGAACACCAAUGGCGAAGGCAGCUCUCUGGGACGGUACUGACGCUGAGACGCGAAAGCGUGGGGAGCGAACAGG